AGGACGAACGCUGGCGGCGUGCUUAACACAUGCAAGUCAAGGGGGCCCGCAAGGGCAACCGGCGAACGGGUGCGUAACACGUGAGCAACCUGCCUCAGUGUGGGGAUAGCCGGCCCAACGGCCGGGUAAUACCGCAUACGCUCACUGGGUGGCAUCACCUGGUGAAGAAACUUCCGAGGC
Molecule: ribosomal RNA, 180 nt
Filed under: uncultured bacterium
Lineage: Bacteria
Description: partial small subunit ribosomal RNA
Rfam family: Bacterial small subunit ribosomal RNA
Source: RNAcentral